GCCUGGCUGGCUCAGUUGGAGAGCAUAUGACUCUUGAUCUUGAGGAUGGGAGUUUAAGCCCCAUGUUGGGCA
Molecule: transfer RNA, 72 nt
Filed under: Canis lupus familiaris (dog)
Lineage: Eukaryota; Metazoa; Chordata; Mammalia; Carnivora; Canidae
Also listed under: 1 other name
Rfam family: tRNA
About the family: Transfer RNA (tRNA) molecules are approximately 80 nucleotides in length. Their secondary structure includes four short double-helical elements and three loops (D, anti-codon, and T loops).
Source: Rfam by way of RNAcentral